RNAcentral lists this long non-coding RNA (241 nucleotides) under Elaeis guineensis (African oil palm). Its description in RNAcentral is "long non-coding RNA (EGUI_LNC081410)". The record is from RNAcentral. Lineage: Eukaryota; Viridiplantae; Streptophyta; Magnoliopsida; Arecales; Arecaceae.
UUCUAAUCUCAUGUAUAUGACAUGGCUCUGAUACCAUUGUUGGAGUUUCAUGAUUUUAUGUAUGUAAAAAUCUUCAAAAUAAGUAUGUAGUGAAAUUAAAAAUUUUCAAAUUAAAUCUAAUUUAAUCUAAGCAUGCAUAAGAUCAAAUCUUAAAAUCAUAAAUAGAAUCAUCAUAUAUGAGAUAGGAUUCAGAUACAAAAAUUAAGUAGAAAAAAAUAAAUAAAGAACAUACCUUGGCAUG